CUGGCUCAGGAUGAACGCUAGCGGCAGGCUUAACACAUGCAAGUCGAGGGGCAUCGGGAGUAGCAAUACUUGCCGGCGACCGGCGCAAGGGUGCGUAACGCGUGAGCAACAUGCCCGUAUCAGGGGGAUAAUCCAUGGAAACGUGGUCUAAUACCCCAUAGUAAUUAUGUAAGGCAUCUUAUAUAAUUUAAAGCUUUGGUGGAUACGGAUUGGCUCGCGUGACAUUAGCUGGAUGGUAAGGUAACGGCUUACCAUGGCUACGAUGUCUAGGGGUUCUGAGAGGAAGGUCCCCCACACUGGAACUGAGACACGGUCCAGACUCCUACGGGAGGCAGCAGUGAGGAAUAUUGGACAAUGGAUGGAAAUCUGAUCCAGCCAUGCCGCGUGCCAGGAAGACGGCCCUAUGGGUUGUAAACUGCUUUUGUAUGGGAGCAAUAAGGGCUACGUGUAGUCCGAUGAGAGUACCAUACGAAUAAGCACCGGCUAACUCCGUGCCAGCCGCCGC
RNAcentral lists this ribosomal RNA (505 nucleotides) under uncultured bacterium. Its description in RNAcentral is "bacterial SSU rRNA". It matches the Rfam family "Bacterial small subunit ribosomal RNA", at positions 19 to 518 of the family's 1533-position model. The record is from RNAcentral.